Molecule: non-coding RNA, 700 nt
Organism: Notechis scutatus (mainland tiger snake)
Lineage: Eukaryota; Metazoa; Chordata; Lepidosauria; Squamata; Elapidae
Source: RefSeq, a predicted model, not a curated record
AAGAAUCAACCUUGCUCUGCCUUGUUUCAUCAUUUAUUAACUUGUUGCUAAAACAGAAGCUGCCUAAAAAAAACAUUUUUUUGCAAUUUCUCCGCUAUUUCCCCUAAACGGGUUUCUUCUGCAUGCAGCAAUCUUAGCCUUCCCAACCUUGAUUCAGACUUUAAUUCCGUCACAAAUUUGGAUUUAGACGACCCUUGACGCAUCUCGGUGUCUGAUGUAGGUCUAAGAGGGGGAAGUUGGGGAAAGAUCGUCCCCCUUUUUCCGUGGAGAUUCCCGCUCUUUUCCCCACCGGAUCGGGGGUCCUUCUGAAUCUUCUCUUAAGAGGUCAAGAGGUGGUCAGAGAAUGCACGGCCACCUAUUUCCUUGGGGAGAAGCCACCCGUGGCUGUUCUCAACUGUAAAGCCGUGGAAGGGAUAGAGGAGGAAGAAGAAGAGGUGGAGGAGAAGGAGAACCAGGAGGAGGAGGAGGAGGAGGGCUUUUCUCCCUCUCAAGGAACAGCUGGAAUGUUCGAUGAAAUUGAGGAGGAAAUUGAGGAGGAGGAAAGGCGUGAGGAUAGAUAUUAAGGUAAUAUACAAUGUCAACACCCACAGCGGCAUCAACAAACCACCUCAACCUCAACCGCUUUAGGGGAUGAUUCAGAAACACCAGACCUCAGAUAUCCGGCCCAAGAAAAAUCAUUUCUGCAGAAAAUGUGGGUAAU